RNAcentral lists this ribosomal RNA (860 nucleotides) under uncultured bacterium. RNAcentral describes it as "bacterial SSU rRNA". It matches the Rfam family "Bacterial small subunit ribosomal RNA", at positions 51 to 926 of the family's 1533-position model. The record is from RNAcentral.
ACACAUGCAGUCGAACGAGAGAAGAGAAGCUUGCUUUUCUGAUCUAGUGGCGGACGGGUGAGUAACACGUGAGCAAUCUGCCUUUCAGAGGGGGAUACCGAUUGGAAACGAUCGUUAAUACCGCAUAAUAUAAUUGAACCGCAUGAUUUGAUUAUCAAAGAUUUAUCGCUGAAAGAUGAGCUCGCGUCUGAUUAGCUAGUUGGUAAGGUAACGGCUUACCAAGGCGACGAUCAGUAGCCGGACUGAGAGGUUGAUCGGCCACAUUGGGACUGAGACACGGCCCAGACUCCUACGGGAGGCAGCAGUGGGGAAUAUUGCACAAUGGAGGAAACUCUGAUGCAGCGAUGCCGCGUGAGGGAAGAAGGUUUUAGGAUUGUAAACCUCUGUCUUCAGGGACGAAAAAAGACGGUACCUGAGGAGGAAGCUCCGGCUAACUACGUGCCAGCAGCCGCGGUAAUACGUAGGGAGCGAGCGUUGUCCGGAAUUACUGGGUGUAAAGGGAGCGUAGGCGGGAUCGCAAGUCAGAUGUGAAAACUAUGGGCUUAACCCAUAAACUGCAUUUGAAACUGUGGUUCUUGAGUGAAGUAGAGGUAAGCGGAAUUCCUAGUGUAGCGGUGAAAUGCGUAGAUAUUAGGAGGAACAUCAGUGGCGAAGGCGGCUUACUGGGCUUUAACUGACGCUGAGGCUCGAAAGCGUGGGGAGCAAACAGGAUUAGAUACCCUGGUAGUCCACGCCGUAGACGAUGAUUACUAGGUGUGGGGGGACUGACCCCUUCCGUGCCGCAGCAAACGCAAUAAGUAAUCCACCUGGGGAGUACGACCGCAAGGUUGAAACUCAGAGGAAUUGACGGGGGCCCGCAC